Molecule: ribosomal RNA, 438 nt
Filed under: uncultured Bacteroidales bacterium
Lineage: Bacteria; Pseudomonadati; Bacteroidota; Bacteroidia; Bacteroidales
Description: bacterial SSU rRNA
Rfam family: Bacterial small subunit ribosomal RNA
Source: RNAcentral
GGGGCAGCAUGGUCUUAGCUUGCUAAGGCCGAUGGCGACCGGCGCACGGGUGAGUAACACGUAUCCAACCUGCCGUCUACUUUUGGACAGCCUUCUGAAAGGAAGAUUAAUACAAGAUGGCAUCAUGAGUCCGCAUGUUCACAUGAUUAAAGGUAUUCCGGUAGACGAUGGGGGAUGCGUUCCAUUAGAUAGUAGGCGGGGUAACGGCCCACCUAGUCUUCGAUGGAUAGGGGUUCUGAGAGGAAGGUCCCCCACAUUGGAACUGAGACACGGUCCAAACUCCUACGGGAGGCAGCAGUGAGGAAUAUUGGUCAAUGGGCGAGAGCCUGAACCAGCCAAGUAGCGUGAAGGAUGACUGCCCUAUGGGUUGUAAACUUCUUUUAUAAAGGAAUAAAGUCGGGUAUGGAUACCCGUUUGCAUGUACUUUAUGAAUAAGGA